RNAcentral lists this ribosomal RNA (484 nucleotides) under uncultured bacterium. Its description in RNAcentral is "partial 16S ribosomal RNA". It matches the Rfam family "Bacterial small subunit ribosomal RNA", at positions 30 to 507 of the family's 1533-position model. The record is from RNAcentral.
AUUGAACGCUGGCGGCAGGCCUAACACAUGCAAGUCGAGCGGAAGAAGGGAGCUUGCGCCUGGAUUCAGCGGCGGACGGGUGAGUAAUGCCUAGGAAUCUGCCUGGUAGUGGGGGAUAACGUCUGGAAACGGGCGCUAAUACCGCAUACGUCCUGAGGGAGAAAGUGGGGGAUCUUCGGACCUCACGCUAUCAGAUGAGCCUAGGUCGGAUUAGCUAGCUGGUGGGGUAAAGGCCUACCAAGGCGACGAUCCGUAACUGGUCUGAGAGGAUGAUCAGUCACAUUGGAGCUGAAACACGGACCAUGCUACUACGGGAGGCAGCAGAGGGGAAUAUUAGACAAUGGGGGGAAGCAUGAUCCAGUCAUGGCGCGUGUGUGAAGAAGGUCUUGGGAUUGUAAAGCCCUUUAAGUUGGUAGGAAGGGCAGUAAGUUAAGACGUUGCUGUUUUGACGUUACCAACAAAAUAAGCACCGGCUAACUACGUG